UUGUUUUUUUUUUUUUUUUGGGCAGUCGAGAGGUGCAAAAUAUUGCAGCCAUGAAGAAAAUUUCUGUGCAAAGAAAUAACAGAACCUCUUCAGUGAUAAAGCCAUCUAGCUUUCCUGGAAAUAAUUCUGCAUCAUCUUCUAAACCUUCAAAGUCCCUCGAAAGGAGAUUCUAAGAGCAAUCUGAUUUCAGGCUCUGCAUCAUUUCUGGUGAGAGCAUCGUGAAAAUAUUUGUUUGCUUGAGCUUUGUUAAGAUAUAUAUUAGGAAUUUGAAUUAUUAAAUCAUUACAACAUAAAUGCUCAAGCUGCCUUGAUUUUCCUUUGCUUCUUUGUUACUUCCCAUUAUUUUCUUUCUAUAAAAAUGAGUAAAUUACAAAA
This is a non-coding RNA of Jatropha curcas, 375 nucleotides long. The record is from RefSeq and is a predicted model, not a curated record. Lineage: Eukaryota; Viridiplantae; Streptophyta; Magnoliopsida; Malpighiales; Euphorbiaceae.